Molecule: long non-coding RNA, 529 nt
Filed under: Citrus x clementina
Lineage: Eukaryota; Viridiplantae; Streptophyta; Magnoliopsida; Sapindales; Rutaceae
Description: Citrus clementina (C. clementina) long non-coding RNA (CCLE_LNC002002)
Source: RNAcentral
ACUUUAUUAGGUAAAAUCAUUUUUGUUGAAAUUUUGUUGUCGACUAAUUUCUCACGUGUUUUUCACGUGCAAGCAAUUGAAAAAUUUAUUGUCAAAAAAAAAAAAAAGCAAUUGAAAAAUUUCGACAAGCAUGCGGGUAUCGAUCUCAUCUUCUGACUGUCAAACAAUCACCCGCUGGUCUUAAUCGAAGGGCGACGGAUGAAAGCCAAGCCGGGACCACAUACCAAUUAAUAUUUUGACAGGCAAUCAAAAAACAGACAAUUAAAUCAGAGAGGGGAUGUUGGUCCCCACACAGUGCAUACGCCUACGUGGCAGAAGAUCGCGCUCUUUGCAGAAAAGUCAUGGACUCAUGGGUUUUUUUAUUUUUUAAAGUGUGGAUAUAUUUUUUAACCAAACAGUUGUGGCUCAGCUAACAGCAUAAAUUGGGUAAGAAGAAAGAGUUAUCGGAUUCGAUUUUUAUUAAAUACAUAAUUUAAGAGAGAUAAAGAGUUUUAAUUGUGACUACAUCCUAAAUCCAGCGCUAGAAAUC